RNAcentral lists this ribosomal RNA (259 nucleotides) under uncultured bacterium. Its description in RNAcentral is "partial 16S ribosomal RNA". It matches the Rfam family "Bacterial small subunit ribosomal RNA", at positions 335 to 605 of the family's 1533-position model. The record is from RNAcentral.
CUCCCUACGGGGCGCAGCAGUAGGGAAUCUUCCACAAUGGGCGAAACCCUGAUGGUGCGACGCCGCGUGGGGGAAUGAAGGUCUUCGGAUUGUAAACCCCUGUCAUGUGGGAGCAAAUUAAAAAGAUAGUACCACAAGGGGAAGAGACGGCUAACUCUGUGCCAGCAGCCGCGGUAAUACAGAGGUCUCAAGCGUUGUUCGGAAUCACUGGGCGUAAAGCGUGCGUAGGCUGUUUCGUAAGUCGUGUGUGAAAGGCGCG